GAUGAACGCUGGCGGCGUGCCUAAUACAUGCAAGUCGAGCGAAUGGAUUAAGAGCUUGCUCUUAUGAAGUUAGCGGCGGACGGGUGAGUAACACGUGGGUAACCUGCCCAUAAGACUGGGAUAACUCCGGGAAACCGGGGCUAAUACCGGAUAACAUUUUGAACCGCAUGGUUCGAAAUUGAAAGGCGGCUUCGGCUGUCACUUAUGGAUGGACCCGCGUCGCAUUAGCUAGUUGGUGAGGUAACGGCUUACCAAGGCAACGAUGCGUAGCCGACCUGAGCGGGUGGUCGGCGACACUGAGACGGAGACACGGCCCAGACUCCUACGGGAGGCAGCAGUAGGGAAUCUUCCGCAAUGGACGAAAGUCUGACGGAGCAACGCCGCGUGAGUGAUGAAGGCUUUCGGGUCGUAAAACUCUGUUGUUAGGGAAGAACAAGUGCUAGUUGAAUAAGCUGGCACCUUGACGGUACCUAACCAGAAAGCCACGGCUAACUACGUGCCAGCCGCCGCCGUAA
Molecule: ribosomal RNA, 515 nt
Filed under: uncultured bacterium
Lineage: Bacteria
Description: partial 16S ribosomal RNA
Rfam family: Bacterial small subunit ribosomal RNA
Source: RNAcentral